This 347-nucleotide unclassified non-coding RNA is filed under the name soil metagenome. RNAcentral describes it as "partial contains 5.8S ribosomal RNA, internal transcribed spacer 2, and large subunit ribosomal RNA". The stretch from base 1 to 120 matches the Rfam family "5.8S ribosomal RNA", at positions 35 to 154 of the family's 154-position model. The record is from RNAcentral.
GAUGAAGAACGCAGCGAAAUGCGAUAACUAAUGUGAAUUGCAGAAUUCCGUGAAUCAUCGAGUCUUUGAACGCACAUUGCGCCCCCUGGUAUUCCGGGGGGCAUGCCUGUCCGAGCGUCAUUGCUGCCCAUCAAGCACGGCUUGUGUGUUGGGUCCCGUCCCCCUCUCCCGGGGGACGGACCCGAAAGGCAGCGGCGGCACCGCGUCCGGUCCUCGAGCGUAUGGGGCUUUGUCACCCGCUCUCGUAGGCCCGGCCGGCGCUUGCCGACACCCAACCAUUUUUUUCAGGUUGACCUCGGAUCAGGUAGGGAUACCCGCUGAACUUAAGCAUAUCAAUAAGCGGAGGA